UACGUAGGGGGCUAGCGUUGUCCGGAUUUAUUGGGCGUAAAGAGCGUGUAGGCGGCCAUGUAGGUCCGGUGUGAAAACUCGAGGCUUAACCUCGAGAUGUCAUCGGAAACCAUUUGGCUAGAGUCCGGAAGAGGAGAGUGGAAUUCCUGGUGUAGCGGUGAAAUGCGCAGAUAUCAGGAGGAACACCGAUUGCGAAGGCAGCUCGCUGGGACGUAACUGACGCUGAGACGCGAAAGCGUGGGGAGCAAACAGG
RNAcentral lists this ribosomal RNA (253 nucleotides) under uncultured bacterium. RNAcentral describes it as "partial 16S ribosomal RNA". It matches the Rfam family "Bacterial small subunit ribosomal RNA", at positions 524 to 776 of the family's 1533-position model. The record is from RNAcentral.